AUUGAACGCUGGCGGCAGGCCUAACACAUGCAAGUCGAACGGUAACAGGAAACAGCUUGCUGUUUCGCUGACGAGUGGCGGACGGGUGAGUAAUGUCUGGGAAACUGCCUGAUGGAGGGGGAUAACUACUGGAAACGGUAGCUAAUACCGCAUAACGUCGCAAGACCAAAGAGGGGGACCCUCGGGCCUCUUGCCAUCGGAUGUGCCCAGAUGGGAUUCGCUUGUUGGUGGGGUAACGGCUCACCAAGGCGACGAUCCCUAGCUGGUCUGAGAGGAUGACCCGCCACACUGGAACUGAGACACGGUCCAGACUCCUACGGGAGGCAGCAGUGGGGAAUAUUGCACAAUGGGCGCAAGCCUGAUGCAGCCAUGCCGCGUGUAUGAAGAAGGCCUUCGGGUUGUAAAGUACUUUCAGCGGGGAGGAAGGGAGUAAAGUUAAUACCUUUGCUCAUUGACGUUACCCGCAGAAGAAGCACCGGCUAACUCCGUG
RNAcentral lists this ribosomal RNA (490 nucleotides) under uncultured bacterium. Its description in RNAcentral is "partial 16S ribosomal RNA". It matches the Rfam family "Bacterial small subunit ribosomal RNA", at positions 30 to 507 of the family's 1533-position model. The record is from RNAcentral.